CCAAUAGCGUAUAUUAAAGUUGCUGCAGUUAAAAAGCUCGUAGUUGAAUUUCGGGACCAAUAUGUUGGUCGUGCCUCGGUAUGUACUGAUAUUUUUGGUUUCUCCCUUCUGAUGAACCUUGAUGUCAUUAAUUUGGUGUCUUGGGGAAUCAGGACUGUUACUUUGAAAAAAUUAGAGUGUUUAAAGCAGGCUCACGCUUGAAUACAUUAGCAUGGAAUAAUGAAAUAGGACGUUUGAUUCUAUUUUGUUGGUUUCUAGGAUUGACGUAAUGAUUAAUAGGGAUAGUUGGGGGCAUUAGUAUUCAAUUGUCAGAGGUGAAAUUCUUGGAUUUAUUGAAGACUAACUACUGCGAAAGCAUUUGCCAAGGAUGUUUUCAUUAAUCAAGAACGAAAGUUAAGGGAUCGAAGACGAUCAGAUACCGUCGUAGUCUUAACCAUAAACUAUGCCGACUAGGGGUCGGAUGAUGUUAAUUUUUUAAUGACUCAUUCGGCGCCUUACG
This 499-nucleotide ribosomal RNA is filed under the name uncultured Glomeromycotina. RNAcentral describes it as "partial small subunit ribosomal RNA". It matches the Rfam family "Eukaryotic small subunit ribosomal RNA", at positions 591 to 1092 of the family's 1831-position model. Lineage: Eukaryota; Fungi; Glomeromycota. The record is from RNAcentral.